GGCGGACGUGGCCAAGUGGA
This 20-nucleotide transfer RNA is filed under the name Alophosia azorica. Its description in RNAcentral is "partial tRNA-His". Lineage: Eukaryota; Viridiplantae; Streptophyta; Polytrichopsida; Polytrichales; Polytrichaceae. The record is from RNAcentral.